Molecule: ribosomal RNA, 624 nt
Filed under: uncultured bacterium
Lineage: Bacteria
Description: bacterial SSU rRNA
Rfam family: Bacterial small subunit ribosomal RNA
Source: RNAcentral
GAUAACAGGAGGAAACUCCUGCUAAUACCGCAUAGCCAUGAGCACCGCAUGGAGCUCAUGCCAAAUAUCCUUUCGGGGAUAGCGCAGGGAUGGACCUAUGGCGCAUUAGCUGGUUGGCGGGGCAACGGCCCACCAAGGCAACGAUGCGUAGCCGGCCUGAGAGGGCGGACGGCCACAUUGGGACUGAGACACGGCCCAGACUCCUACGGGAGGCAGCAGUAGGGAAUUUUCGGCAAUGGGGGAAACCCUGACCGAGCAACGCCGCGUGAGCGAAGAAGGCCUUCGGGUCGUAAAGCUCUGUUGUAAAGGAAGAACGGCGCAUACAGGAAAUGGUAUGCGAGUGACGGUACUUUACCAGAAAGCCACGGCUAACUACGUGCCAGCAGCCGCGGUAAUACGUAGGUGGCGAGCGUUAUCCGGAAUCAUUGGGCGUAAAGAGGGAGCAGGCGGCCGCAAGGGUCUGUGGUGAAAGACCGAAGCUAAACUUCGGUAAGCCAUGGAAACCGGGCGGCUAGAGUGCGGAAGAGGAUCGUGGAAUUCCAUGUGUAGCGGUGAAAUGCGUAGAUAUAUGGAGGAACACCAGUGGCGAAAGCGACGGUCUGGGCCGCAACUGACGCUCAUUCC